AUGAUGUGCGGUUUAACUACUACUAGUUGUGAGGAGGAGGAGGUUAGCUUUGAGGGGCAGGUGGUACCUCAGAAAGACACCUUUCGAUAUUUGGGGUCAAUGUUGCAGGAGGAUGGGGGCAUUGAUGAAGAUGUGAACCACCGAAUCAAAGCCGGAUGGAUGAAGUGGCGCCAAGCUUCUGGCAUUCUCUGUGACAAGAGAUUGCCAAAAAAGCUAAAAGGCGAGUUCUACAGGACGGCGGUUCGACCCGCAAAGUUGUAUGGCGCUGAGUGUUGGCCGACUAAAAGGCAACAUGUUCAACCGUUAGGUGUGGCGGAGAUGCGUAUAUUGAGAUGGAUGUGUCGCCACGCGAGGAAGGAUCGAGUACGGAAUGAUGAUAUAUGA
This 384-nucleotide ribosomal RNA is filed under the name Triticum aestivum (bread wheat). RNAcentral describes it as "partial small subunit ribosomal RNA". The record is from RNAcentral. Lineage: Eukaryota; Viridiplantae; Streptophyta; Magnoliopsida; Poales; Poaceae.